Molecule: long non-coding RNA, 509 nt
Filed under: Theropithecus gelada (gelada)
Lineage: Eukaryota; Metazoa; Chordata; Mammalia; Primates; Cercopithecidae
Description: lncRNA (ENSTGEG00000010246.1)
Source: RNAcentral
AGGGAGGGGAGGACAGAGGGAAGGGAAGGAAGGAGGAAGAGCUUUACUGUGUGCCCAGUGGAAUUUAGGCGCUCUCACCCUAGUUGCAGAAACUUAUAAAAACAUCCCCCUGUUCUCCGUUGAGAGUUAAGGAUAGUUUUUGAGGCCAGAGAAAGAGAAAAGAAGGAGAGAUCACCAGAAAGAGAGGAAGAGAAGAAGUGGGAAGAAAAGGAGCUGCAGUCUACAAUGGAAGCCUCCAGGCUCCUUAGCCUCACCUUAUAAAGCCACAUCACCGCAGAGAUAGCAAAGAUCGUGCCCUUUCCCAGGGAGUUUCUACCGCCAGGCUAAGACCCUGGGAGAAAAGACUGCCUCCAGGGAAUCAUGUCCGAUUAGGGACAAAGGAGGGCACAAGCCCAAUUCAGUCACACGACCGCAAGCAACGUGGCCCACAACGCAGAGAUGCCUCUGGCAAUCUCUUCAGGAAAACGAAGAUUCCUUACCUAGGCUAGGUAAGGCCCUGCUGGAUAAAU